CGGUCAGGAAGGCUUAUUUUUGUCCACAUUCCUGAAUGCUGCCUUAGUUUGACAGAAGAAAAGAUCCAGUGGGAGAAGGACUUACAUUUUGUUGGGACUUAUUUAUUUGUUUGAUUGUUUUCUUGAGAGUUGUCCUUGGCAAUCCCAGGCUGGCUCCCGGAAUUGUGUGGUUGUGGGGACAUCUCUGCAUCACGAUGUGCUGGGAGUGGCCACUUAAAUUUUGCAAAGCAAAAUAGCUGCUGCCUUGAAGAUGCUUUUUGACUGGCUGAUGCCUGCCACUUCUCUCUUUUAUUUGAAAGCUUCUGAGUUUUUACUGCUGAGCACAGAUCCUGACAUACUUUGUAAGAGGAAAUUCAGAAGUCAGCUGACUUCCCCACAGAGACGUAACAGGUCAAACAUACAGCCAGGAUUUCCGGUCCGCUAAACCACAGUGCAUCGGAGGCCUCCCCUGUGAACAUUUGGCAUGAAAAGGCAGGAAAUCUGGAAUGUGGGCAAAUGGCUAAAAGCAGGAACCUGAAGCUGCCAUGUCGUGCCCUUACUGGAUGUCCCAGUCGUCCAGCUAUGAGAAGAAAAGGACUUCAUGAUACCUGUGAAAAACAGGAAAGAUCUUUGUUUUAUUUCAGGUUCUUUAGUUUCCAGGCUGUGUCCCAUACCUGUCUCCUGUUCUUACUGCAGCUCACAGCAUGGCGUCUCAGCUGCCCAGCCUGGGAUCUGCUCCUGGGCUGCCAAAGCAGGAUGUGUUCAAUGUUGUCAGGCAGCACUCCCAGCACUGUGUCAGACCCAUACAUUGGAAAUAACUGUUCCCAAAUCAUGGGUCAAGCCAGGUUUUGGUAGAAAGUGCAACUUGGAAAUCAAGAUUUGGAAAGUGAUUGCAGGGAUCAGGAAGAGGGUAAGUUAAAACUAGGACAGUACUGUGUUUACCACCCCCUCUCACUGGAGCAUCUGGGAGACCUUCCUAAAACUAAUCUCUGCACAGGUAAAGAAGAAAUGUUGUAUUUCUAUCUCAACAGCAUAUGCAUUUUUGUUCCUCAAAAUAUGAUUUCAAAGCCUCCUCUUAUAGUAAUAAACCAGCACCACCAGGAGCUGGGACUGUAUGUUGAUAAAAACGUUACCUUCUUUCAAUGGUAGCUAGUGAGUAUUAUCAUUUUGGUCUACUCUAAUCUCAUUUACUUCAGCAGGGUUACUUUGUGCUUAUAAUGGCAUGAUUACGCGAUAACACUCCUUAUGGAUUUCCAAACAAAAGAAUGUAUGGGGAUGUGUGGAACUCAAAAUCUAACCUCUAUUUUCAGAUAUACCAACCAGACAGACUUCUCUCUCCUGUCCCACCUACACUUACCUGUAGCCUGCAAAAUCAUUAUUACUGUUGUAUCUGUUAUGGUAGCACUGACAGGCCCUGACUGAUCUUGUCUGUAGUUAUACUGUCACAGAAUGUGAGAGCUGGUGGCUCAAAGAAUGACAAUAUAAGUUGACAAGACAGAAAAAAGGGAAAGUGAAAAGUUAACCAGCUCAAAGCUGGGCAGUCAAUCAGUGGUGUAGCUGGGAGAGGACUGCAGUUGACUUACUGAGCACCACUGCCUAUUACGUGCUGUACCUUGGAAACCUCAUCCUCUUCUCAUAACCACAAAUCUUUACUGUGCACUUAAGUAGUGUAAGGAUCUUCAGUAUGUCUCCUUGCUGGUGCCAAACCCAAUAGCGGGAAAGCAUGGUAAAGUGCAUUUGAUGAGUGUUAUUCAUUUCAGAAGUGAAACACAAUUCUUCAAUAUUUUGCCUAGCCUAAAUUUAAGUAGAAGGAAUGGAAGUCAUGAGCAGAGCUGGCCAGAAUCUUCCAGGGUGUUUUUUUUUUUUUUCAGUCAAAAAAAUACUUUCAUUACUAAACCAAAACAUUCCACCCCACUGUUAUUAAAGUUGUGCUAGAAUUUACAAUGCAUCAACUUUAUUUCAAAGAAAAUGUAGCCUACAGAAAAACAACUUCUUAUCCCCCUAAACCAAAAGUGUCCAACUCAUUUUAGGACUACUCCUAUGAGUAGUUAUGUUUAUACUGUCCUAAAAUUACAGUCGGCCCUUUGAAGGCAACCGCAAAGCUGAUGUGGUCCCCAGUGAAAAUGAGCUUGACACUCCUGCAAACUCACCAGCUACAGAGUCUUCCUGCAUUGCUCUUAGGUGGGAGUGCUCAGUGUCCAUUACCACAUAUCCAUUCCUCUCUUUCUGUCACAUUGCCCCAGACAAACCACCUUUCAAUCUGAAAGGAAUAAAAAGUGCAUUUAAUCAUGUGACUUUUGUAGAUGAUGUUCCUUGUUCAGGUUGUAGAAGAACAAAGCCUGAGGAGUGUUGUUGGGAGACGUGCCAUAAGAUCAACAAACUCAGGAACUGAACAGAGGAUCAAUAUCAGAAUCCUGAAGCAGUUGUCUGAGCAGUUACUUUGUCUCCUCAAUCACUUGUCAGUCUAGGAAAUUUUUUACAGUUUGUACUGGGUGAUGAUUUAGUAACAUAUGAUCUUGGAGAGCAAUGAUUCCCCUUACCAGAUUAUAAGACCCCCCACUAAAUGCUCUACAAAGUAUUCAGGAAGUUCUCCCAGUCUUUGAUGUCCAACAUUAUUUUUAUGAUGUUUUUCCAAGCAAUUGCCUUUCUUUUCUUGAAGAGUGGCCACUGGGGAUGUGUGGUUUAUGCUGCAGUAAACUUGCUGAAACUGCAGUGCAAAGGAACAUGCCUGGGAGCAGUUCAGCUGGACUGAGACUGUCUGCAAACAACCUGGUAUAGGAACCAUGAAAGGCUUGCUUGGGUCACUUGUGAAGGCUGAUUUAAAAGAAACUUCCUUUGUCACAAGCUUUAUGAAAAUUUUUAGGAAGCAAGAACUCAGAGGAUUAUGGGUAUAACUAGUCUUUUUUUUUGUAAAUGCUGUAAUCAGAUAACAGUGUAUGAGUAUCUGAGGAGAGCUUCAGUCACGGACAACCUGCAUAGCUGGUGAUGAAAAGAAACCACUACUAGUCUUAGGUUAGGUCAGCUUCCACAUUACAGCAAAACAUUCAGUGCUGAGGUUGUACACAAGAGGUUAACAUUAGCAGCCAUGUCACAGUAUGUCCCAAAAGCUUCAUUGGCAUCCUGUCUUUGAGUCAAAAUCCCAGUACAUUAUAUGCAAUAAGUUUUCUCUUUCUGGAAAGCCAGCACUUCCCAGCUAGCAGCAGGUGCACUCACUUUGUGCUCUGAGAAGCUGACUGAACCUCUUCUUUAAGACGUAGUCAAAUAAUGACUGCUCUUGAUUUCCCACUUUGGACACUGAGCUCUGUACCUGCCACGAUCUUGGAUCAUGCAUUCCCCCCAGGAUUUGGAAGACUGUGGAAUACCUGAUUUUAAGCAUUGUGAUUUCUUGCAAAUGAAAGGAGAGGAAUAGGAAAAAGAUCUAUUGUUGAUUUUUGGUACAUGUAGGAGGGCUUCUGAUGUAGUCUUGGAAAUAUUCAUGUGCCCAUGUAAUCACUAGAAACAUGUCUUGGCUGUAUUUUUUCCUUCAUGAUGCUUACUACUGCUUUUUCUUUUUUCUCUUGAUGUCUUUUUCUGUUUGCUUUUUUUCUUUUUUAGCUGCUAAUGACAUGACAUGAUUUUGUUGUGUUGCCUCCUCUCUGACAUGCAACAGCUUUUAAAGUCACAAAUGAUAUAUUGCUAUUAUCAUCGCACCAAAGAUAUUACUGGUGAUACCGCAUGGUUUGUGUUAGCAUAUGAAGGGCUGUGUCAGAGCUUUUAAAGGGUUCACCCCUGGAAAACUUCAGUCUCUAACAAAUGUACUUUUGAAAGGAAUAAGAUGCCUGACAGACUGAUACUGAUAUUAUACAGUCUUGCUUCUUUAGGAGUCAUGCUGAAGGGUAACACUGUCUCUUGAGCUUUUGACCUCAACAGAUAAAAGUUGGUUUAAUUUUGGCUUAUUUUCCAGGCUCGUCUAAAAUACCUGGUUCAGUCAGCAUUCUCUUUAUGAACAACAGGGUUCCAGAUCAAGUAUUGUGCCCUUUGCGUGCACAGAUCAUGCAGCCAUCCCACUAUUUCCUCUCAGAGCCCCGGUACAUUCCCACCAUGCAGCUAUGUAACACUUGCACUGCUUUAUAUUAUAGUUCAAUGGAAAACAGCAAUUGAAGAAGGUGAGCUGAUCCAAUUUCAGAGACAAAAGCUGAUCUGCUCUGACAGUAAAGAUGUGUUUUCUGCAAUUACUAUCUGCAAACCUCCUCUGUGGAGGAAAUAGGAAUUGAUUUGAAAGAAUCCCUGGCAUUGUAAUGCUAUCAAAGGAAAAUUGCUUAUUAUCAAUUUGCCAUUCAUUCUGAAAGUCGUUAAACCAGUUAGAAUUACUUUAAUUCAGCACAAUCAUUCCUUCCAAACUAUGGAUGUGUAAUCUUGUUUCAGUAGCUCAUCAAUGGCUCUCUUUUCAUUUUCAUAUAGUGUUCUAUAUAAAUAUUAUUUCUCUCAAAGUGAUUUAAUAUUCAUGAAAACUAUAAAAAGCUACAAAUAUUGAUUUUGUUUAUAGAAUAAAUAAAUGCAAAAGUUUACUUAAAGUACACAUCUGUGUCUUUCAAAUUUCAUGAAAAGGACCAUCUCUGCGAUGGAGGAAGCGUGGUCUUUCUGUCCACCAAAGCUCCUGAUGUUGCCAUUUGCAGUGGGUUUCCACAAAACAAAACAGCUCCUCUCUAGGAACCAGACUAAAACCAGCAAGUCAAUGCACAUAAGUCCUUGAGUUGUGAUGUUGUUGUGAUGUUAACAGCCUUGUCACCUUCUCUUGCUUAGAGCAGAGUUCAAAUAAAUGCUUUUUUUUAAUCAAUGCUGCGUUGCUCUGAGCUUGGCUUGAUGAACAAUAUUUUUCCUCCUUGUUUUUUUUUUCUUUUCUUGCCAUGCUAAAGAUGGAUUUAUAAGGCUCAUUACAUUGGCAAUGAGGUAUGAAAACUUCCACCUUUUGCAUUCAGACUUAACUGUGAGUAAAAAUAUUUUCAUUUUAAAUUAGAAAUGUUGGUAUUCUCAGCCUUGCUUUCAGCUCUUGUGGACUCCAUCCAAUUUGCCAUACAUGAGGAAAACUAAAAUGGAAGAUGGAGGCUAGCGAUUGCAUUGUUUUUGGGAUAUGAAUUCAAAACAGUAUUUUCUCUUAACUUUAUAUUCCAGUGGGUGUUCAUUUGGGAUUUUCUAAUUUGGUUUAUGAUCUGAUGACACAGAGAACUUCACUUCCAUAAAAAUAGUUACUACUUAUAAGCAGAUUAUGUGAUUUGUUUCCUUUUCUUGUGGUUGCUGUCGUGUUUUUUCUUCAUUCUCUGAUUAAAAAACAAACAAACAAACAAAAACACAAAACAAAAAAAACCCAACCAAACAAAAUAAUCUAAACAUGAUCUCAGAUACAUCUAAUAUAUUUAGCACAGGUAGAGAAUGUUGCCACUAAUGUACAUUAAGGGCUAAGUAAUCCUGCAGAUAAUAAUCCCAGCAUCUCUUUUCAAGAUUUGAAUUAGACCUUUAUAGCUCUAAUUACUGCCUUUUGCUCAGUCUCAGACACCUGCCUGGGAAUGCUCUCCAGAACACUUAUCUCUAGUUACAAAGCCCAGAUCCCAUGAAAGAGGCAUCUAGUGUAUAAGAGUCCAGCCCAACAGUUCUCUGUUUCAGAAACCUACAGAUUGACUUUAAGCAAGUUACAUCUCUGGGGAUAACAUUUUAGGACACUUGUUAUCUGUUAUGUCCUCCUGCCAUCAACAACCUACAAGUUCUUAUAAUUCUGUUUAAUACCUGAGUAUAUAAAAAGCUUUUAAAUUUGGCUGAUUAAAAUUUCUGUGCUAAUACAAAGCAUAUUUUAAACACGCGAAUGUAUGAUUGUAACAGAAUCGCUGGUCUUUUUAUUUCAAUGAAAAAUACCUCUGAAAAAAAACAUUAAGAAGUUAGGUGUUAUUUGUAUGCCAACUCCUCCUUUUUUCCUUUCUUCAUAGCAAUGACUAAGGCACUUGUUUUAAAGACUAUAAGACUGAAAGGUGAGUCCAGCUAAUUCAAGAGCCUCCUUGUCUCUCAGUCCUUGUUCUCCUCUUUAUUUUUUUUUUUACUCCUUCUCUUCCAUCUCUUACUGGUUUUGGUGUUUUUCUUUUUCAGGGUUAAUUUCUACUCUCAGAAUCUAAUGGAAUAAGCUGCUGGCUGCAACAGCUUAAGCGAUGAAGAUGAUAUGGGAACAACUAAUGAGGGCUAGCUUGGAAGUGGUGCUGCGUUCCUAGUUUUAUGAUUGGCAUUGGGGCAGUUGCUUAGAGGCUCAUUCCAGUUUUCUGGAGGCUGUUCUACAGCCACUCAGCAAGUGAAAUUGAGGUGGUAUCACUUACAAUGCACGAUAACCAAAAGCUGAAAAAGUGUUUCUUCCUAUUCACAAUAUUGCUAAAAUUCUAGCAUGGGAGUUCAUUGUCUCCCUCUCCUCUCUCCUGACAUUUAAAUUUUGUUGUUACAAUCCAUUCUGCACCAAAAGGUGAUAAAAUCUGAUCUGCUCUAAAAAAGUUGAAAAGGGACUAGGAAUGGAGGUUUAUUCUCAGCCUCUACUAAUUUCUCAAGAUGUUUACUCAAAUUUUCCUCUCUCUCCCUCUCUCUCUCUUUGUUUGUUUUUAAACGACAACUUCUUUUUUUCCUGGCUCUGGGUGAGGGCAAGGCAGAGGAGGGACUUGCUGAACACGAGCUGCUUGUGAAACCCUGUGGAGCUGGUUGCUGCCAGGGGCAGGAAAUGGAACACAUGCCUUCCACCGAGGCACAUUGCUUUUUCUAAUCAGAUCAGCAGUCAUGCAGGGAGAAGUGGCACUGACAAAAUGUCAAGAAAUCAAUCCUCGCAUGCACAUGGGUUCCAACUGCAACUACGGAUGGAUUUCUGACAGAGAGGAAAUGACCAUGGCCAAAAUUGUGUUGUACAUCAUGAUUACAGCUGUACGGAACAGUUCAUUUAACCCAAAUAGUGGUGAGCCUUCAGAUUACUGUUUUACAAUUGCCCAUUGUAUUGUUACCUGUAUGCCCCAGAUAUAAGCCAUACUGCUGCUGGCAGAGGGAGGACACCAUGCCACCUGGUUGUAAGGAGUUUUCACAAAAAGCUUCUGUUUCAGAGGUACAUAAUGCAUGCCUGUCAGAUGGAAACAGCUACUUGUAUUGAGAUUUCAGAACAUAUUUGGAGGCCUCUAAUAUUGGCAAAUAAAACUUCUAGAUUUUUUUUCAGAAAUAAAACAAGACAUUUUUCUAUGUAUGUUUUGCAACUUAAAAUAUCAGCAUUUAGCAUUUGUUAUUUGAUAUUCAUAAUCCUAAUAGGUGCUAGCAAAUACGGGUGUGAAUAGCAAGUACAAAACUUUGCAUUUCUCUUCAGACCAAGCACAAUCUUAAUUAAAUCUACAAAAGCAUAGAAAUUCUGGAUUAAAGCUGAGAAUUCUUUCCAGUGCAUCCUGGCUUCAGGCAUAAAGAAAGGCUGCUGGAAUAGCUAGUGGUGUACUUGACAGAAGGCAUCCUACCCAUGGGCUCUAAUAGUUGGAGAUCAAGUUGAUAGCUAAUUACUUCCAGAGCUAGUGAAGGCUAACUCUGAGCCUUAUGUAGUUCACUGAUUGUAUCAGCACCAUAGCCAUUGAGAAUACAUCACAUUGACAGCACAUAUUAUUAGCCUUUUUCUAAAAUAUAUCCAUGAGAAUUAACUGUCUACCUCUUAAUAGCUCUGUUUUGCAUUACUGUGGAGAAUGAACUCACUGUUGAGCAAGCAGGGACUUGGCAAUAGUCAUACAACGGUAUGUUCUGAUCUGUUGAAACAUAACAAAUACAGUAUAGAUAAUUGCAUUGAUCUGCUGCUAUAUUAAAGCAUGCUGCUAUAUCAAAGCACGCUGCUAUAGUACUUUCAGUUCUGACUGCCUCCUCAGUACCCAGAGUGGCUCCAUGAACUACUGUAGAGAUGGCCUGAGGGAGAAUUCUGACUUGGUGAGAGAGGAUCUUUUUCAGAUGUAUGACCUUUAACAUCAACUUACCUGUUACAUCCUUUCUCUUAAUGCUGUGAAGAUUUCAGGGUAUGGCACUAGCAAAAACAUGGUAUCUAAUAUGGCUUUUUAUAUAUAGUCAAGCCACAUACCUGAUAUCUGAUGGCUUGGUGCAUGCCUAUUAGUUUUGGAAUAGUUUAUUUUUAUUACUUGCUUUCCUUCCCCUCUCUCCAGGCAGAAUAAAUCUAAAUUCAAAUUUUAAAUAGGUGGGGGUGCAGGCUGGAGAAAGAGAGGCUAGCAGUCAGCUCAGCAUGCCAAGGUUCAUCCCAAAGCAAUUUUUACAGCUGCAUUUUAAACUCGUUUAAGAAAAAAAAAAAAAAAAAGGCUUAUAAUAAAGAUUUCAGCCUUCCCUUAACAAUAGCAGAGCAGCUGGGAACUGCUAGAAUAUCAGAGGUUGCUGAGAAUUGCAGUUUGAAUGUCACUGUCUGCCCAACUUUAAAAGAAGAUGUCAAAUGUAGACCCUCUCUCACUGAAAAAAAAAAAGCAAAAAAAAAAAGCCUUAUUGAUCCAUUUAGCUGGUAACAGAUACGAAUCAAACCAAAAAGUAUAUUCUCUACCAUUCAAGUUAGAUAAAUGUCAAGAGCUGCAAUUGAUCUGCAGUUCACUGCAAAACUUCACGGCCAUAUAGCGUUAUAGACUGGUGAAUUCUGGAAAAAUAAGGACAUUUUUGUAGAGAGAUUUUUGUCACACUUUCUGUGAGAAACCACAUUUACAUGUUGAGCUGCUCCAAGCAUGGGUGUUAUAGCAUGUGACACUGGUAAGAGUCAGCAGCACUAGGCAGAAUUCCCUAUUUUUUUGAGGAGGCAGGAAAGAAUUGUGUUAGUUCAGGUACAGGAUUUGGCCUGCUGAAUUUGCUCACUUUUUCCAUGUUUUUCUACAAAGCACUGGUUUUCCUCAAUUAUACGCUGGCUUGUUUUGCGAUACUUUUGCAAGAAUGAGAACUGCAUGAGCAGCUUGCUCUACGAAAUCCGUUAACUGUGCUUUAACAAAUGGUCAUUGACUUACCCUUCAUUCUCCUUACCUUAGAGCUGCCCACACUGACAUCCCCAGUUCCCUGAGGAACCUGUCUGCAUUGCUGGACCUAUCCAGAGAAGAGUGAUGGCCAGUUUUGUGUUUACUAAAAUGAAAUGUGGAGCUGCCUUUGACUUGAAGCUCAGCCUGCAUGGAUGAGCCCUGUGCGCCUCCUGCUGAGAGGGAUGGCACAGCCAGCACAGACCUGAGGGCUGGCACCACCAAAACCCUUUUGCAGGAGAAUCGUGAUUCACAGCGCCCAUCAAACAAAAGGCUGAAAAGCAUAUUGGGAAUUUCACAGGCUGGAUAUUAUUGAUAGCAAGAAGAUAUUUUUUGGGGACAUGAACAAAUCAGAUGAUUAAUAAGAAUUGGGGAGAUUAAACACUCCGAUACCCCAAAGCAAGAGGAGCUUUCUUAUUCUGUCUAAUCUUUUGAUGGUAGAAAAGGUCUUCAAAGUGGGAAAUUUGUCCCCUCCAGAGGGUAACAGCCCUUCCACCACAGACAACCUGAAAGGUCAAGAGCUGUUAGGGUGCUGGGCAUUGCAGUAGAGUUCUGUUUCAUUUUUCGGGAAGCUGUGCUCAUCUGAAGCUGAAAAUCCAGGGCCAGCCCAUCUCCAUAGUGACACAAUGCUGCUUCAGCUUCAUGCAGCCAUGCAAUCCCACUCCAUUAUGUGUUCUAGUUUUGUCACAUACUUAAUUUUUGAAACUAGGCUGUGUAUGACACAUUUGUCUGAAGAAUCCUAUUAUUUUAGUUCUAGAAUCUAUACAUAGUCUAUUUGCUUUUUGAAGGAUUUACUAUUUUUUCUUUAAAAUUUUUUCUAAAUGUCAUAAAACACCUGUGCAACAAAAUUGAAAGUCAUAUGCCAUUACUAGUUAUUUACAAAAUAGCUGAAAGGAAGCUGAAAACAAUCUGAAAGGAAGAAAGGGGAAAAUUUACCUUUAGCUUUUGUGAAUAAUUUUUGCUUUUUCCUCCGGACCCCAAAUCCCUUAUCCCAGUGGCUAUCAAUAAAAUAACAGCUGGUGGAUGAAAUUCUACAUUGGGAACUUUUCAACAACAUCUAGAGAGCUGAGCUUUCAGGGUUUUAAAAAUAUGGUUGUUCUUGUUGUGCAUCCAUAAGUUUUGCUUCAUGAGCCAGAUGCCUGUAUAUCAAAUAUAAGUUUACUGAUUGUGAGGGGUUUGAGGAUUGUAAGUAGAAGCCCAUUCUGAAGCAAGACAUGGACUGUGUCUAUGUUAUUGAGUGGUGAUGGGCAGGGAGGGGGCAGGGUUUGGCUGUCCACAAGCAAUUCUGGUUCCAGGACCAUUCAUACCCAUUGUAUCCUUACCACAGGUGGAAUUCCUGCUGGUGUCUGGUCCUAGACACACACUUUGAACGUGUAGAGUUGACUAUGGGUAAACCUUGGGGUGAUGUGGCAAGUGGAGUGUUCCGGAUAGUGCCCUUAUAAGUGAUUUUAGCUUUGGUUCCACUGGUUAGGAAACUGAUACAAGUUUACCACUGGCAUGCUUGAAUGCAGACUGCCUGACAGCCAGGUAUGGGUGACAGCAAAUUUGCAGCUGGACAAAAAACCUUGUGCACCAAAUCACUAAUGGAGCCAUGCUCCACCUGCUCGUGAACAGUCUCAGCAGGUCAGUCUCUAAAGCGAUUUAGGACACGUGGAAAAUUAAGAUGGAAAUUUUGAAGCUGGCCAUGAAUCAUUACACUAGCUGCUUAUUGUAACUUGCAUAAAGAACAUUUAGCUUCAUUUACAAAGAGUCAGGAUAACUGCUGUAUUUUGAGUCAAAUAGCACACUUUUUAAAAAUUCUACAGAAUACCCUCAACUAUACUGUGUUGCGAUCAUCAGAGUGGGAGGUCAAAACACUUCCCAUGACUUGAUGUCCUUUUACAAUAUGAAGCUUUGUCUACGGGACUGUAUGUAGGGUCUUACAUAACAAAAUAUUUGACUGAUCUGAUAUAUCUUUAAUUCUCCAAUUACUGCAGUUUGUUAGCAAAGUUAGAGGCCAUUUUAUAAUUGUGGUUAAAUACUCUUAAUAGUUUUCAUCUAGGUGGGGAGCUGAGACAAACUAGGAGAACUCAGUGUAUAAGUACCAUCCUUUUUGACACCUGAAAAAGAAGCCUGUUUUAAUAUUUGGCUCUAGAAAAUGUAAAUGGCUUCUGUGGAGAUCUGAUUCUUUAUAUCCACAGUGGACUUGGCCCUAGGUGUGUGAUCAAAGAUAGUAACUGUGCACCAUACACUCUGGUGUAAUUUCAUCUUUAACCUGCCUCUGAGUCCUUUGAAACUGAUGACAUGGCUGAGGAGGUGCUGAAGUGUACCUAGCCAGUUUGGCAGUGUAAUCUUGAUUAAAACCAGGAUGGAACUGAACAUGGAACUCUGGAACAGGAGGUCAUAGUCCUUUUUAAUUUCAUAGAGAAAAAAAUGAAAACAAACAAAAACAACAACAACCAAAGCCAAAAAAUAAACAAACAAAUCUAAAACUUCCUGAAUAACUAUUAGAAGAAACGGCAAACAGAAUAUAAGCUGCCUUUUUUUUUUGUUUUUUUUUCUUUUCUUCCCUACACAUGCUUUUGAUCUGGAGCAGGGAUGGAAGUUAGUCCCCAGUAUUUUGAAAACAUAGUAAUUUAUGAAUGCACUAUUUGUCUAGAAUGGAUGGUAUAAUAAAAACAAGUGACAAAGUAGUGAUCCUUUGCAGAUCAGAUUCAGAUUUUUCUUGCAUAGCCUACAAUUUUCCUACUGUAUUUUGUGGUUAGCGGUGCCAGUUCCAAUGAAUUCUCAAAUUAGAAAAUGAGAAAGGACUGGAGCUAAAACUAAACUAUUUCUGCUUUAAGAUAUGGACUUCUGAAUCUUUAAAUUUUAGGAUGAUUUAUAGAUGCUUUUAAUCCACUUGCAAUUUAACAAUACUGUAAAAAUAAAUGGCAGAUAAUAAAUAAUUGUAGGGUAUGUGUUUUAAUUUUCCAAAUAUUUCAUUUUUUUAUAUCUUAAAUACUGUCCCUGAAGUCCAGAUAGCUGCUUUUCAAUCUUUUUUACUGGUUAAUUUCAGAACUGAAGGUAAACAAACUGUGCCCUUUUAACCUGUAGAGUUUGAUUGACAUUAUGUUAAACUAACAUAUGUCUACCCUAAGAAAACAUAAAGGCAGCUUUUUCCAAGGUAGAAGGAAAACUGCAGGGCUUUAUGGAUAAGAUCAUGUUCAUCCCCUUUUCCUGCCUUUUAGAAAACCUGAUUUGUAACAUCUUCCAGAAGCACAGAGAAAUGGCAUUUUUGUUUUGCAUUAUUAAAGAACUGCAUAGUUUGACUCAGAUUAAGUAUAAACACUCCUAACCGUGACUGGCAGAAGUGGGAGUACUGGAAGCCAGUGGAGUGAAGGUAGCUUGCACGGGGAAGACGCUUGGUUAUAUCUGUGUAGAUUAAUCAUGUAGAGAACUGUUGACUCAUCUUCUGCCUCCUUUUUAUUACCUCAGAUCAGGUGAGUGUAAUGUCAUGCAAACUGAAGCAUUUGUUAUCUGUCUUUAAAAGUUCAACUAAGGCCCAAUUCUGAAAUUCAUCUCAAAAAUGUCUUUGGCUUUUAUGAAAAUAGACUUGAACCCUUAAAAUGAACUUUCCUCUUAAAUUUCUGUUGAGAGCAGCAAUGUAGUGCUAAAGUCCCUGCUGAAAUCAGCAUCUGGCAGCAUUACCCCUUCAGGUCCUUAUCCCACACUCAUUUAUAUACACGAACAUAACAUUUUUGCAGGGAAAAACUUCAAUCAAAAAUCAUUAAGUUUGUAAAAUUGCCAUAGUUAAGUUUAUAGGAUGCUAGACCCUUCUAAGUAAAUAUUACAAUUUAGCCAUAUGGAAAAUGUAUUAAAACAAAAUAAAAAUAUUCUGAAAAAAGUCAUAGUACCAGUGUAGUCAUUGUGAACAAUUCUGUGGAAUUUAUAAGAGAAUUAUGUACCUUUCAGAGAUUUCUACAACUUACCUGUAUACAAAGGAAACAAUAUUAUUGCAAAAGUAGUUCUAUAAUUUUAGGAGAAUGUCUGUAUCCGUUACUAUGCACUAAAAUACAGUUCUUUGUCCAAUUGAUCACAUAUUUCCAAAUUAAAACCCCUAAUCCAAUAUGUCAGGAGGUAAUUCUGACCUAACUCUGAAUUUCCAGCCUAGUGCCUGGCUCUGUGUUGGAACAAACUGGGACCUAAGUAAUGGCGAACACUGAAAAGAGCUUGUUUCAUCAGGGUCUGUUUAGGUUCAUCUCAAGUGUCUAAGAAGCCCUAAGACAGAAAAGUGAAUAUUUUGGACAUUUUUUGUCUUUUAGGCACUAAAUACGUGGAAACAAAGACAACAAAACCACAAAAACUGGAAAAAAGUUGCCAUAAGGCUAUGUUGACAAAACUGGUAGGAAGGUCAGGAAAGUGAAAUUGAUUUAGCAAUCUAGAGUGCUCUUGUCCUCUUUUGAAGCAAAGCAAGUUCUACCUUGUAUUAAUAUUAUUGAUUUGGUAAGCAAUAUUGUGAUAUUUUAUCCAAUAAAACUACAGACUGUGGUGGAAAUUUGCAACAUGGCUGAAAGCUGAUUCAAUUCAAAUAUGCAUCUUGACCUUGCUUAAGUAGAUGAACAAGUGAGAAAUCUGUAACAUGGGUGUAAUAUUUAUCAGCUGUGUGCACAAGAGCUCUGGUGAGCAUGCCAUGUUUGUUUGGACAAGUGCUACCGGGUUUCAGAACUGACUCCCAGGUCAGUGUCAGCACUUCACAACCACGGAUGGAAAAUGUUUCAGGAUUUUUCUCCCGAGACUGCAAAUCAGGUUUUCCCAUGUUUGCUUGAGAGCUGAUAGUUGUAACCCAGUAAAACAAGAUGUCACUGUUGUCAUACUUCUCAUGUUUUGUACUUGAAAUACGUUGGCAGGAACUUUCUAACAUCUUUUUUUGUUACAGUUUCUGCAAAGCAAGGUAUAUCCGUUUUCCCUACAAUCCAUAUGAAAAUGAAUAAGUUGUCCUAAACUCACAAGUUAAUAGGAUCAGCAGCAAAGUCUGAGUCUUAAUUUUCUUUACCCCUGUUUUCUCUAAGUGGUUUUGACAAGGAACAGGAGAGGAAUGUGGAUAUUAAAGAUCUCUAAUGAGUUGUGCAUGAGGUAGUGGGGGGUUUUGUCUUUGUUUCAUAGAUUUUAAAAACUGGGCCUUGUGAGAACAGCCCGUCCGGGACUUUCGGGACCAAGAGCCCGCCCUUUCUCCUCAGUGAGGGACUGUUUCCGUCCGGAAAUAUCCCCGAGUGGGCCCUUGCUCCCCCAGGCAGGCCGUCAUUGCUUCUGGGCACCCCGUGGUGAGGGAGGCCUCUUAGUGUGGGCUGUGGAUCCUCAGCCUGUGGGUUCGCAUGGCGAUGAGAUUCCCCAGAUGGUACAUGACCUGCAGGUUGGUAAAUGCUGCCGGAGUGCUGACUGAUUUUGGAUUGUGUUGGUUUCUGUUGUUUGGUUUUGGUUCUGAAUUAAAGUUGGUUUAAGCUUGGAGUCGCUUUGGGGUGCCUCUGUGGCAGAAGUAGAGAGUCAUUUAGCUACAAGAUAUAUGGACAAGAUUGGAAAUAAUUCAGAAAACAAAGGACUUUAACAAUCUGAAAAUUGCCUGUAAAGAUAUUUGAAAUUAGUUUAGAGAGUGGUAUUGGAGAUGAAACUUUAGGGAAUAAACCAGGAGGAAAUGGGACCAUGACCUCAGUGCACGGUGUCCAGUCCUGCUUGGCUUUCAUGUGUGGGACACAGGCCUUGGGUUACUUCAGCUAGAAGUGCAUGCACACACCCAUAAGGAAUGAUAAAGUUACUUAACUUGGACUAAAAUGUAGGGAAAUUUGUGUCAAGUUUUGAUUUUGCCGUAAACUUUCAUUCUAGUGGUGAUCAAAGAAUUCAGAGCAAAUUUCUGGAGAUAAAUACACACAAAGGACACCAAUGAUAACACAAUUAAAAAAAAAAAAGGAAAGAUAAAUUCUGACCAUCUGAAGGAUUUACUGUUUUCUAAUCUUACUGGUUGCAAUUGUAUUCAAAUUUAACAUGAAUUACCCAAUCCCUGAUCUUGUGAAUUCAGAUUAUUUCCAGAACCAGGUAAAUUCUGUCUUUGUUAUGUGGAACCUGAAGUUCACAACUGUUGAUGUUCUGAAAUGUGCAGCUCUAUAAAAUCAAGAGAAUGAGGUAAAACAGGAUAUAUCUGUGCUUUUGCUAGUGAAAAGAUUACGAGUCUUGGAAUGUAUUCUGAGUGAACUCUGCAUGUUGAUCAACAAUGUAAGUUGCUAAGUCACCUGUUUAAAAUCUACCAGAGAAAAAUAGUUCUGAUUCUGUGUUUUGUUUUAUUUAUGUUUUGUUUGUUUUAAACCAACUCUGAGUAUCUAGAACAUCACCUCUUCUGUUUGCUUCUGGUUUGCACAGAGAUAGUACUGGAUUAUAAGAGACCUCUAAGCCAGGCUUUCCCUGACUGACACUCCUUCAAACUCUCUCCAGAACCCCCUAUGACAGAAACGUCCCCAUUUCCCUACCUGUAUCUCAAAACUUUUGCUAUCAGGAAGUUGCUUUUUUGCUUUUGUUUUUCCUGAAGUUGAAUCUUUUAUUUUCUGCAUCUUACACUGUCUGCUCUGUGUGCUUUGAGACAAACUGUUCGUAUCUCUGCACAGACUUUCACAUACCUGAUGACUUACAUUCACUGUCAUUCUUCUAGGCAAAACAAGCCUGUUCGCUCAAUCUGUAGUCUUUUUCUUUUUUUUUUUCCCCUCUCUUUUUUGGGGGGGAGAGGACGGGAAGGGGUGGGGCUUGUGUUGUAUAAUUUUGCUUUCUGUUAUUGUACCCAUUGAACUUGUAUAUGAACCAUACACUCUCUUUUUCGGGAUUUAGGUAAAAGAAAUAUCUUUGUAAAACUCCCUAAUUUUUAAAUAGUGAACAGAAUCAUCCUUUCUUUAUUCAAUCAUG
Molecule: long non-coding RNA, 15890 nt
Organism: Columba livia (rock pigeon)
Lineage: Eukaryota; Metazoa; Chordata; Aves; Columbiformes; Columbidae
Exons: 11
Source: RefSeq, a predicted model, not a curated record